This 253-nucleotide ribosomal RNA is filed under the name uncultured bacterium. Its description in RNAcentral is "partial 16S ribosomal RNA". It matches the Rfam family "Bacterial small subunit ribosomal RNA", at positions 524 to 776 of the family's 1533-position model. The record is from RNAcentral.
UACGGAGGGUGCAAACGUUAUCCGGAAUCACUGGGCGUAAAGCGCAUGUAGGUGGUUUGGAAAGUGAGCGAUUAAAGACCGAUGCUUAACAUCGGGACUGUUACUUAUACUACCUGACUUGAGGAAGGCAGGGGCAAGCGGAACUUUGGGUGUAGGGGUGAAAUCCGUAGAUAUCCAAAGGAACACCAAUGGCGAAGGCAGCUUGCUGGGCCUUUCCUGACACUGAGAUGCGAAAGCGUGGGGAGCGAACGGG